This 1250-nucleotide long non-coding RNA is filed under the name Homo sapiens (human). RNAcentral's name for it is "HSALNT0337237". The record is from RNAcentral. Lineage: Eukaryota; Metazoa; Chordata; Mammalia; Primates; Hominidae.
CACAAUAGGCAGUAGCAAGACAGCAAACGCCACUUCAAGACUGAAUUUCUGAAACUGGCCCUUUAGCUGAGAGUGGCCAUCCUUGCCGGGGCGGGCGAUUUACUAGUUUACUAACAUUGUUACCAGGCAGCAGCCCUGGCAGCAUUUUACUAAAUCCUCAACAAGAAAACUCGCAACUCGUCUGAAGUUUCAGUUUGUUUGUUGUUACUGGAGUUAUAUCAGGGAGUUCUUUUCUAUGCCAGACUGGAGUUCAGAUUUAAAUCUUGCCCAACUCAAAAGCAAGCGCACAGGAAACACGAACCUCGCCGCCGUGAGAGCAGCCUGAGUGAGCCAGCACUCACCAAGGAAAGGGCUGCAGGUUCGCUUGAGAGUGAGGAUCAGCCGAAUUCCUCACGCUGCUCACUGAGACUUCCCCUCACUGAGACUUCACGCUCCUCACUGUCGGCUAUCGGCCGACAGAAGAUCUCACAUCCAAGUCACAAAGACUCAGAACCUUCUUCAACAAGAAACGUCACUUACAACGUGUUUGCUUCUCCAUCUCUAAGCUCAAAGUGCCCCGUUUCUCUACAGCAAAUUAGACUUUUUGCCUACUUUGGUGCUGAGAAGCCCAAACUACCAACCAAAGCUUUGGUUUUCUCUGAGGGCUGUCGGUACAGACGAGAGGCCGGGAUUGUUCUCUAGCAACCCCUGCCGGUUGACAAUAAAUGCCAGAAACUGACCCAGAGGCAUUAGUUCAUCCCCACGUUGGAGGGAAGUAAAAAAUGUCAGGCUGAGGGAGAGCAGGUAGCACCUGAACGGCUAAAACGUAGAUACGUCCGUGACCCAACUUCAACCAACCACGCAACGUCAAUGACCCAGGGGAUGCUGGAGCAACAGGAAGGAAGGAAUUGAUUGAACAAUCACGUGGAGCAAAGCCACGUUGUUAUUUAGGGCUACUACUUAAAUCAGAGAUCAUCUCUGUCUUCUUUAAGCCACUUCAGUUUGGAGGCUUUUUGUUCUAACAGAUUUUCUAUGCAGGUACAGUCACAUUUAUGUCUUUUAAUAAUAGAGUUCAUCCAUCAUACAAGAUUGAUGAUCCCUGCAGAAGUUAAAAGUCUAGGAAUAAGAAAUUUGCACUUUAAAGAAGUCUUUCCUUUGUCUUACGGCUUCCAGAAUUCCUGAUGAGGAGUCUGCUAUCAAUCUUAUCUUGUGGCUUUGAAGUGAUAAUGUCAUUCUCACCUGUAAUCCCAGCACUUUGGGAGGCUGAGGCC